UUUGUACACACCGCCCGUCGCUCCUACCGAUUGAAUGGUCCGGUGAAGUGUUCGGAUCGCGGCGACGCCGGCGGUCCGCCGCCGGCGACGUGGCGAGAAGUUCAUUAAACCUUAUCAUUUAGAGGAAGGAGAAGUCGUAACAAGGUUUCCGUAGGUGAACCUGCGGAAGGAUCAUUG
RNAcentral lists this ribosomal RNA (177 nucleotides) under Schistidium crassipilum. RNAcentral's name for it is "partial 18S ribosomal RNA". It matches the Rfam family "Eukaryotic small subunit ribosomal RNA", at positions 1659 to 1831 of the family's 1831-position model. Lineage: Eukaryota; Viridiplantae; Streptophyta; Bryopsida; Grimmiales; Grimmiaceae. The record is from RNAcentral.